AACAGCUAGAGUUUGAUCCUGGCUACGAGGACGAACGCUGGCGGCGUGCUUAACACAUGCAAGUCGAACGGACGAUAGUCCCUUCGGGGGUAAAGUUAGUGGCGGACGGGUGAGUAACGCGUCGAGUAACCUGGCCUUGGAAUGGGGGAUAACACAGGGAAACUUGUGCUAAUACCGCAUAACAUCGCGACGGGGCAUCCCGAUGCGAUCAAAGAUUUAUUGUUCCAAGAUGGGCUCGCGUCCGAUUAGAUAGUUGGCGGGGUAAAGGCCCACCAAGUCGACGAUCGGUAGCCGGACUGAGAGGUUGGCCGGCCACAUUGGGACUGAGAUACGGCCCAGACUCCUACGGGAGGCAGCAGUGAGGAAUAUUAGGCAAUGGGGGAAACCCUGACCUAGCGACGCCGCGUGAAGGAUGAAGGUUUUCGGAUUGUAAACUUCUUUUAUGAGGGACGAUAAUGACGGUACCUCAUGAAUAAGCCACGGCUAACUACGUGCC
This 496-nucleotide ribosomal RNA is filed under the name uncultured organism. Its description in RNAcentral is "SSU rRNA". It matches the Rfam family "Bacterial small subunit ribosomal RNA", at positions 1 to 509 of the family's 1533-position model. The record is from RNAcentral.